UUAAAAAGCUCGUAGUUGGAUUUCUGGGAGGGUGCCAAUGUCCGUCAACGUGCGUGUGCAGCGGCGCCCUUCCAUCCUUCUGUUAACGCCUCUGGGCAUUUAUUUGCUGGUGGCGGGCUCAGAUAUUUUACCUUGAGAAAAUUAGAGUGUUUCAGGCAGGCUAGGCCGGAAUACAUUAGCAUGGAAUAAUAGAAUAGGACUAUGGUCUCUUUGUUGGUUUGAGGGACUAUGGUAAUGAUUAAUAGGGAUAGUUGGGGGCAUUAGCAUUUAAUUGUCAGAGGUGGAAUUCUCAGAUUUGUUAAAGACUAACUUAUGCGAAAGCAUUCGCCAAGGAUGUUUUCAUUAAUCAAGAACGAAAGUUAGGGGAUCAAAGACGAUCAGAUACCGUCCUAGUCUUAACCAUAAACUAUGCCGACUCGGGAUCGGGGGCGCGAACUAUCCGCCUUCGGCACCGUAUGAGAAAUCAAAGUCU
RNAcentral lists this ribosomal RNA (472 nucleotides) under uncultured eukaryote. RNAcentral describes it as "SSU rRNA". It matches the Rfam family "Eukaryotic small subunit ribosomal RNA", at positions 619 to 1106 of the family's 1831-position model. The record is from RNAcentral.